UACGUAGGGGGCAAGCGUUGUCCGGAUUUAUUGGGCGUAAAGAGCGUGUAGGCGGCCUGAAAGGUCAGCUGUGAAAACUCGAGGCUUAACCUCGAGACGUCGGUUGAAACCAUCUGGCUAGAGUCCGGAAGAGGAGUGUGGAAUUCCCGGUGUAGCGGUGAAAUGCGCAGAUAUCAGGAGGAACACCGAUGGCGAAGGCAGUUCUCUGGGCCGUAACUGA
This 220-nucleotide ribosomal RNA is filed under the name uncultured bacterium. RNAcentral's name for it is "partial 16S ribosomal RNA". It matches the Rfam family "Bacterial small subunit ribosomal RNA", at positions 524 to 743 of the family's 1533-position model. The record is from RNAcentral.